CUGCUCAUUUAGACAUCAGAUAUACUAAAAUUGGAACCACACAGAGAAGAUUAGCAUGGUCUCUGUGCACAGAUGACAGAAUUCCACAAAGCUCUUACCAAGAAAAU
RNAcentral lists this small nuclear RNA (107 nucleotides) under Catagonus wagneri (Chacoan peccary). The record is from RNAcentral. Lineage: Eukaryota; Metazoa; Chordata; Mammalia; Artiodactyla; Tayassuidae.